UUAUUUAUAGGUUUUAAUGGUGCUUUCCUAUAUAACCAGCCAGCUGAAGCCCGUCUCCUUUUAGCGUUUACACUUACACGCACGUGCACGUCUACACUCUCCUGCCGUGAGUUCCAGCUCCAUUCUGUUCAGAACCAACAGACAUGAUUAUCAGACUGGGACGCCUGACUCCUGGAUACUUCCGUCUCCUGCAGAGGCAGGUAGCUGGUGAGAUUCAGACCCAGCCUCAGGAUGGCUCCCUUAACCAAAUUGCCAUGAUGCUUGCCAUUAUGGGUCUUGGCCUGUCCUACUACAGCGCCAAGCAGAUGACCGAGAAGGUGCAGCAUAGCCCGGUGCCCUGAACACAACCAUGACCUCUGAUCCAUUUGACUCCCUGCGGCGGAACAAAAGCCAAAUCGGAGAUGGAGGGUUGGAAGAAGACCUUAUCCAGGACUUCAUGUACACUACUUCACCAGAAGCCUGGAUGUUCUGAGUUUAGUCGGCAUGAGACGAGUACAGGGUUUUUAGCAAGCAAUGUCAACAAAAAAAUAGAGUUCAGAUAUGACCUGUGUCUUGAUAGUUGCACUGGUACAUUCAUCAGGGUCCUUUAAUACCUCUGAGGCCAAAAUUUUGGCUUAUCUUCAGUGAUUCCUAUUUAAAGGGAAUGAGCCAGUCACUGGUACUUUGGUGUAGAAUAUAUGCCCUUUUAAAGGGAAACCCUCUGCCUUCUGUAUCAAGCAACUGUUAAACGCAGGUCACUAAAAAACUAGGGAUAUAUAUAUAUAUAUAUAUAUAUAUAUAUAUAUAUAUAUAUAUAUAUAUAUAUAUAUAUAUAUUUUUUUUUUUUAUUAUUAUUUUUGUGAAAAGCUGCUUAAAUGGAGACUAGGCAUCGCAGGAAUCCUUCAAACUCGCACUGGAAGAGCAGUACCAAACUACACUAUAUGAAAUUAAAGGCCCAUUCGGUGUUACACACAGAUUUAUUGUACUGUUCUAAGUAGCCAUGUUUUUGUGACGUUUUUGAGCAAAGACCUUAAAUGUUAAAGGGAUGUUAACAAGUGCAUGUGUGUUGAGAUUUUAAAGAAUCCAAUAUGUGAUCUUGUCAAGUGAUUUUUAUAUGAAUGUAUGUUGAUUAUUUAAAAUUGGAUUAAAUAAAGCUGUGAACAUUUUUGAACAA
This is a long non-coding RNA of Ictalurus punctatus (channel catfish), 1153 nucleotides long. RefSeq lists it as uncharacterized. The transcript has 3 exons. The record is from RefSeq and is a predicted model, not a curated record. Lineage: Eukaryota; Metazoa; Chordata; Actinopteri; Siluriformes; Ictaluridae.